Molecule: long non-coding RNA, 1742 nt
Filed under: Xyrichtys novacula (pearly razorfish)
Lineage: Eukaryota; Metazoa; Chordata; Actinopteri; Labriformes; Labridae
Source: RNAcentral
UCAGCAUCAUCAUCAUCAUCAUCAUCAUCAUCAUCAUCAUCAUCAUCAUCAUCAUCAUCAUCGUCCAUGUCAACAUUAUUACAGCAUCUGCAUUACUAUCAUCACCACUAUCAUCAUUACCAUUAUCGUCAUCAGCCUGAUCAUCAUUGUUAUCAUCAUUGUCAUAAUCAUCGUCAUCAUUAUCAUCAUUAUCACCAUCAGUAGUAUCCCAGGGUUCUUUCACCUCGCCCCCUCUACAGGUAAACAUAAUGAUAAAAUGUUCAUGAGGAUGCUCACUGCCUCCUCAUCAUCAAACUCUGUCCCACUCUCUACCUGAAACACAUACUAAUGUACAUAUGUACACACAUGCACACACAAACACACACAAACACACAGAGAAACACUGGCGAACACACACUCAUGCACACACACAUUAAUCAAUCCUCCUCCCUUCACUGAUCAAUAUAUAACAGGUCCAUUUCCCACGAUCCUCUGAUCUGCCCUGAUCUGCCUGCCUGUUUGUGUGUGUGUGUGUGUGUGUGUGUGUGUGUGUGUGUGUGUGUGUGUGUGUGUGUGUGUGUGUGUGUGUGUGAUUAGCAUUGUUACCAUCAGGCUGCCCCUCAUCAGAAGUUAUUGAUCAGUGUCCUGAACCUCCAUCAGCUUCUAUUGACCAACAACAUGUACGUGUGUGUGUGCGUGCGUGUGUGUGCGUGUCUCUGUUUAUGUGUAGGGGGGUGAUUAUCAUUGGCUGUGUUUUAAUUUACACUCAGCAAGAGAGGAGCAGUGUGAUUAGUCCAAGGUGAGAACAUCUAGGGUGUUUUUAUGUGUGUGUGUGUGUGUGUGUGUGUGUGUGUGUGUGUGUGUGUGUGUGUGUGUGUGUGUGUGUGUGUGUGUGUGUGUGUGUGUGUGUGUGUGCCUAGGUGUGGAGCUGAGGAUUAGUUAGUAACUGUGUUUUCACCAAUGAUGACCAGCUGAUGUUUCGGACUAACAGCACAUAAACUAAUUAAAAACUUCUAUCUGUCUGUCCUGUGGUUAAUCCUCUGAACAAAAACUGAGAAAACAGACUCAGACUGAGAAACAACUGUUUCUACCUGACAUACACCUUACUUCAAUUAAGUAUAGCAUUUGAAUCUUGUCUUUUAACCUUCAAAGCUCUUCAUGGUCAGGCACCAUCAUACCUUAAAGAGUUUGUCAUUGCCUAUUACCUGACUAGAACUCUGAGAGUAUGCAGGUGUGCUUAUUUUACUUAAAAUCUCUGAAAAGUCUCAGUAGAGUCACUAAGACACAGUCUUUGCAGGGUGUCCCUGAGCUCCAUCAUCCUGGAGGUUUCUCUAGUCUCUGGAUCGCUGCUACAGACGUCCUGCUGCUGUUGACCUACUGCUUUCUUGCUACUUCAACUAGAAGCAUCAGUCUAUCCUCAGUCUAUACUUGAACCCCAUUUUACAAGAUUGGGCUCAAUCUGAAUCUUUCUUAAUGAUGGGUCCUUGUAAAUAGAGUCUGGUCUAGACAAGCAUUCUUGUGAAGCGUCUUGGGAUAACACUGGCUGUGAACUGGGGCUAAAGAUUUAUUGACUUUUGUGAAAAUAUUAUCUUUAACUUGAGCUGGUUUCACUCUGAACACCUGUUUUUUGAGUUCAGCAAGAAGACUCAGAGGUCAGGUAAUCACAGGUGAUUGAUGAUCUACCUGAGCAGCAGAUUGUUAUGCAGGAAGAGGCGCAUCAUCUUCAUCCUCCUCAUCCUCCUCAUUAAUCAGUGCAGACAGAC